AACAAGGCGUACCUGCGGACCUGCGGAGGGAUCAUUACCGAGUGUGAACCCCCCCGUAAAGAAGAGGGGUUACCUCCCGUCCUUUGCUGGGAACCCCUUUCCAACUUGGAAGGAGGUUGUUUUCAGACCCUUCUGCUUCGGUGGGGUAACCCACCGGAACAACCUCAAAAAUAUUCUCAAUUCAAAACCGUUCAGUCCGAGAACUUUUUUGAAAAGCGAAAAAACUUUCAACAACGGAUC
RNAcentral lists this unclassified non-coding RNA (240 nucleotides) under soil metagenome. RNAcentral describes it as "partial contains 5.8S ribosomal RNA, internal transcribed spacer 2, and large subunit ribosomal RNA". The record is from RNAcentral.